Molecule: ribosomal RNA, 253 nt
Filed under: uncultured bacterium
Lineage: Bacteria
Description: partial 16S ribosomal RNA
Rfam family: Bacterial small subunit ribosomal RNA
Source: RNAcentral
UACGUAGGGUGCAAGCGUUAAUCGGAAUUACUGGGCGUAAAGCGUGCGUAGGCGGUUUUGUAAGUCUGUCGUGAAAUCCCCGGGCUCAACCUGGGAAUGGCGAUGGAGACUGCAAGGCUAGAGUUUGGCAGAGGGGGGUAGAAUUCCACGUGUAGCAGUGAAAUGCGUAGAUAUGUGGAGGAACACCGAUGGCGAAGGCAGCCCCCUGGGUCAAAACUGACGCUCAUGCACGAAAGCGUGGGGAGCAAACAGG